Molecule: ribosomal RNA, 895 nt
Filed under: Synnemasporella aculeans
Lineage: Eukaryota; Fungi; Ascomycota; Sordariomycetes; Diaporthales; Synnemasporellaceae
Description: LSU rRNA
Rfam family: Eukaryotic large subunit ribosomal RNA
Source: RNAcentral
GCAUAUCAAUAAGCGGAGGAAAAGAAACCAACAGGGAUUGCCCUAGUAACGGCGAGUGAAGCGGCAACAGCUCAAAUUUGAAAUCUGGCUUCGGCCCGAGUUGUAAUUUGCAGAGGAUGUUUUUGGCGCGGUGCCUUCCGAGUUCCCUGGAACGGGACGCCACAGAGGGUGAGAGCCCCGUAUGGUUGGACACUAAGCCUGUGUAAAACUCCUUCGACGAGUCGAGUAGUUUGGGAAUGCUGCUCUAAAUGGGAGGUAAAUCUCUUCUAAAGCUAAAUACCGGCCAGAGACCGAUAGCGCACAAGUAGAGUGAUCGAAAGAUGAAAAGCACCUUGAAAAGGGGGUUAAACAGUACGUGAAAUUGUUGAAAGGGAAGCGCUUAUGACCAGACUUGUGCCGUGCGGCUCAUCCGGGGUUCUCCCCGGUGCACUCCGCACGGCUCAGGCCAGCAUCGGUUUUCGUUGGGGGAUAAGAACUGUAGGAACGUGGCCCCUUUCGGGGGGUGUUAUAGCCUAUGGUACGAUACCCUGGCGGGGACCGAGGACCGCGCUUCGGCAAGGAUGCUGGCGUAAUGGUCAUUAGCGACCCGUCUUGAAACACGGACCAAGGAGUCGUCCAUUAGAGCGAGCGUUUGGGUGUAAAACCCGCACGCGUAAUGAAAGUGAAAUUAGGUGAGAGCUUCGGCGCAUCAUCGACCGAUCCUGAUGUUCUCGGAAGGAUUUGAGUAAGAGUUUUAACGGACGGACCCGAAAGACAGUGAACUAUGCUUGUAUAGGGUGAAGCCAGAGGAAACUCUGGUGGAGGCUCGCAGCGGUUCUGACGUGCAAAUCGAUCGUCAAAUAUGAGCAUGGGGGCGAAAGACUAAUCGAACUGUCUAGUAGCUGGUUACCGCCGA